Dipodomys spectabilis (banner-tailed kangaroo rat) is the source of this 658-nucleotide long non-coding RNA. RefSeq lists it as uncharacterized. The transcript has 3 exons. The record is from RefSeq and is a predicted model, not a curated record. Lineage: Eukaryota; Metazoa; Chordata; Mammalia; Rodentia; Heteromyidae.
UACUGAGGAAUCAAACCCAGGGCUUCAUGCGUGCUAGGCAAGCAUAUCACUAAGCCACAUUCCCAGACCCAAGUGUUGUUCAGUCAGCAGUUUAGUUCCACUCUGAGUUCACCCUGGCUGUUGAAAAGGAUUGAAAGAACAAAUUUUCUUUGGCUACUUCUCCAAUACUCUCUAAAGUCUAAUGGGGUACAGGGACAAUGAAAAGUGCACCCAAAUAACAAUAAGCAGCAGCUAACAGGACAGAGAAAUGAAAACACUUCUAAUAAAUACACCAGAGCUGGGUACUAGUGGCUCUCACCUGUAACCAUAGCUGCUCAGGAGGCUGAAAUCUAAGAAGCAUGGUUCAAAACCAUCCUAGGCAGACAAAUCCAUAAGCCUCUUAGCUCCUAUUAAUUACUAAAGGCCAGAAGGGCAGUUAUAACUCAAAUGGUAAAGCACCAACCUUCAGCAGAAAAGCUAAGGGACAGUUAGCAUCUAAGCCCUGAGUUCAAGUCCCAGUACUGGCACACACAUAUUACACUUAAUAUUAGCUCCAAUAAUUUGAGAAUUGCCUGUGCAUUAUUACAGAAGAUAAACUACAUGCCAUACUCCAUUUGUUUUAGCCCAUGAUCUUAAGUGCUAAAGCAAUGCUGUGUAUAUAAAUACAUGUGUGUGUGUG